AGUGAACGCUGGCGGCGUGCUUAACACAUGCAAGUCGAACGAGAACGGGUUAUAGCUUGCUAUAAUUGUCAGCUAAGUGGCGCACGGGUGAGUAAUGUAUAGGUAAUAUGCCUCUUACUAAGGGAUAACAAAUGGAAACGUUUGCUAAUACCUUAUACUCCUUAUUAACAGAAGUUAAUCAGGGAAAGAUUUAUUGGUAAGAGAUUAGCCUGUAUUGUAUCAGUUAGUUGGUGGGGUAAUGGCUUACCAAGACUAUGACACAUAACUGGUUUGAGAGGAUGAUCAGUCACACUGGAACUGAGACACGGUCCAGACUCCUACGGGAGGCAGCAGUGGGGAAUACUGCACAAUGGACGAAAGUCUGAUGCAGCAACGCCGCGUGGAGGAUGACACAUUUCGGUGCGUAAACUCCUUUUAUAUGAGAAGACAAUGACGGUAUUAUAUGAAUAAGCACCGGCUAACUCCGUGCCAGCCGCCGCAGUAA
RNAcentral lists this ribosomal RNA (484 nucleotides) under uncultured bacterium. RNAcentral's name for it is "partial 16S ribosomal RNA". It matches the Rfam family "Bacterial small subunit ribosomal RNA", at positions 29 to 523 of the family's 1533-position model. The record is from RNAcentral.